RNAcentral lists this ribosomal RNA (280 nucleotides) under uncultured prokaryote. Its description in RNAcentral is "partial 16S ribosomal RNA". It matches the Rfam family "Bacterial small subunit ribosomal RNA", at positions 524 to 803 of the family's 1533-position model. The record is from RNAcentral.
CACGGGGGUUGCGAACGUUGUCCGGAAUUACUAGGCGUAAAGGGCAGGCAGGCGGAUCCAUAAGUUUAUCGUUUAAGGCGUCGGCUUAACCGGCGUAGGGCGGUAGAUACUGUGGAUCUGGAAUGCGGUUGGGGAAGACAGAAUUCCUGGUGUAGCGGUGGAAUGCGCAGAGAUCAGGAGGAAUACCGAAGGCGAAGGCAGUCUUCCAAGCCGUUAUUGACGCUCAACUGCGAAGGUGUGGGUAUCAAACAGGAUUAGAUACCCUUAGUCCCUGAGCGGG